Molecule: ribosomal RNA, 269 nt
Filed under: uncultured bacterium
Lineage: Bacteria
Description: partial 16S ribosomal RNA
Rfam family: Bacterial small subunit ribosomal RNA
Source: RNAcentral
UACGGAGGGUGCGAGCGUUGUCCGGAAUCACUGGGCGUAAAGGGCGCGUAGGUGGCCGAGCAAGGUUGCGGUGAAAGCCCGGGGCUCAACCCCGGGUCGGCCGUGGCAACUACUCGGCUUGAGCACUGUAGGGGCGGGUGGAAUUCCGGGUGUAGCGGUGGAAUGCGUAGAGAUCCGGAAGAACACCGGUGGCGAAGGCGGCCCGCUGGGCAGGGAGGCUCGCAAGAGCCGGCUGACACUGAGGCGCGACAGCGUGGGGAGCAAACAGG